Molecule: ribosomal RNA, 501 nt
Filed under: uncultured bacterium
Lineage: Bacteria
Description: partial 16S ribosomal RNA
Rfam family: Bacterial small subunit ribosomal RNA
Source: RNAcentral
AUUGAACGCUGGCGGCAUGCCUUACACAUGCAAGUCGAACGGCAGCACGGGUGCUUGCACCUGGUGGCGAGUGGCGAACGGGUGAGUAAUACAUCGGAACGUACCUUAUCGUGGGGGAUAACGCAGCGAAAGCUGUGCUAAUACCGCAUACGCCCUGAGGGGGAAAGCGGGGGAUCGCAAGACCUCGCGCGAUUAGAGCGGCCGAUGCCUGAUUAGCUUGUUGGUGGGGUAAAAGCCCACCAAGGCGACGAUCAGUAGCUGGUCUGAGAGGACGAUCAGCCAAACUGGGACUGAGACACGGCCCAGACUCCUACGGGAGGCAGCAGUGGGGAAUUUUGGACAAUGGGGGCAACCCUGAUCCAGCAAUGCCGCGUGAGUGAAGAAGGCCUUCGGGUUGUAAAGCUCUUUUGUCAGGGAAGAAACACCGGCUCUAACACAGUCCGGGAAUGACGGUACCUGAAGAAUAUGCACCGGCUAACUACGUGCCAGCAGCCGCCGUAA